AAAUACGUGAGGGAUAGCAGUGAAAAUCCUUUGCUGACCCGUUGCAAAAAAGGGACAGGAAAGAUUGUAACGUAUAGCCCGACCGGAG
Molecule: small RNA, 88 nt
Filed under: Flavobacterium sp. FPG59
Lineage: Bacteria; Pseudomonadati; Bacteroidota; Flavobacteriia; Flavobacteriales; Flavobacteriaceae
Description: Flavo-1 RNA
Rfam family: Flavo-1 RNA
Source: Rfam by way of RNAcentral